AGCCAAUGGGGCGAAGCUACCAUCUGU
Molecule: non-coding RNA, 27 nt
Filed under: Xenopus tropicalis (tropical clawed frog)
Lineage: Eukaryota; Metazoa; Chordata; Amphibia; Anura; Pipidae
Also listed under: 2 other names
Source: RNAcentral